GAGGCAGGGGUGAGGGGCUGCGGGCGGAGGCUGCGGCUGCUGCUUCUCCUGGCUCUCCUCCCUCUCUUU
Molecule: microRNA precursor, 69 nt
Filed under: Mesocricetus auratus (golden hamster)
Lineage: Eukaryota; Metazoa; Chordata; Mammalia; Rodentia; Cricetidae
Description: miRNA (ENSMAUG00000002797.1)
Rfam family: mir-207 microRNA precursor family
Source: RNAcentral